This 73-nucleotide transfer RNA is filed under the name Xiphosiphonia pinnulata. Its description in RNAcentral is "tRNA-Thr". It matches the Rfam family "tRNA". Rfam says of the family: Transfer RNA (tRNA) molecules are approximately 80 nucleotides in length. Their secondary structure includes four short double-helical elements and three loops (D, anti-codon, and T loops). Lineage: Eukaryota; Rhodophyta; Florideophyceae; Ceramiales; Rhodomelaceae. The record is from RNAcentral.
GCUAGUAUAGCUCAAUUGGUAGAGCAGCUGAUUUGUAAUCAGCAGGUUAUGGGUUCGAGUCCCUUUACUAGCU